UAUUUAUAAAAACUCGUAAAAUAAUAAAGUGAUAUAUGUUAAAGUAUAAUUUCUUAAACAAAACAUGAAAAAUAUAAAUUAUCAUAAACAAAUAUUCAUCUACUGUAUAACAAAUUAGAUUUAAAAAUGUAUUGUAUGUAAAUUGUAAAAUAUUAAAAAUCUAUAUUAAACGAGAUCAUAUAUUUGAUUAUUUCAGAUUAUCAUUUAGGUAUCGAACUCAAAAAAUAUACUAAUAAGUAACAACAAUCAGUAAGAAUAUGAAAUAUAUAAAACAAAUCACUAUAUGAAAAAGGUACAAAUCACUAUAUAUUAAUAAUGACGAAUAAAAAGCUUGAGAAAUAAGAUGGUAGAGUCAUGACUUGAGAAAUUACCAGUCUCCCUCCACAAUAUAUAACACUAUAUGUAAUUCAUAUAUAAUAAUAUCAAAAUUAUAUAUAUAUAUGUAUAUAUAAAAUAUCCCCACGAAUGUAUGGGCAAACAAUAGUAUUGGAUUUUAUAAAAAUAUAAAAUCACAGAUGUAAAAUAUAAUUUUUUAAAAAUGUAACACAAAAACAAAUCAUGCUGUAAAAAAUUAAAAGCAACAUUUUUAAAACUUAAUUUAAUAAUAAAAAAUUAGAACCCUUAGUACCAUAACAUCCAAAAAUAUCAUAUAUUGAUAAAAUUUACUAAAAUAAUAUGAUAGAUACUACUAUGUAUACAGUUUACUAAAUUGAUAGAGUUAUAUUAUUUAAACAAAGCAGUGUAUUUACUUAUAAAAUCUCGCAAAAUAAUAAAAUGAUAGAUAUUAAGGUAUUAUUUCUUAAACACAACAUGGAAAUAUAAAUUAUCAUAAACAAAUAUCCAUCUACUGUAUUUAAAUAUUUUUUUUAAUGUACUGUAUAAAAAUUGUAAAAGAUUAAAAAGCUAUAUUAAACGAGAUUAUAUAUAUGAUUAUUUCAGAUUAUCAUUUAUGAAUCGAACUCAAAAAUAUAUUAAUAAGUAACAACAAUAAAUAAGAAUAUGAAAUUUAUAAAACAAAUCAGUAUAUGACAAAAAAUACAAAUCACUAUAUAUUAAUAAUGACGAAUAAAAAGCUUGAGAAAUUAGAUUAUAGAGUUAUGACUUGGGAAAUUACCAGUCUCCCUCCACAAUAUAUAACACUAAAUGUAAUUCAUAUAUUUAAAACUUAUAUGAUAAUAUUAAAUUAUAUAUUUAUAAAAUUAAAAUUCCUGCACGAAUGUGUAGGCAAACUAUAGUAGGGCUGGGCAAAUAAACCAAAUCCAAAAAUCCGAAAACCCGAAUCCGAUCCGAUAUAAAUGAUUCUGAAUCGACCCAAACCCGACAUAAAUACCGAAUAAAUUUUUUAAAUGUUAUUUCAGGUUAUGGAUAUUAUAAGAACCGAACCCAGAUCUAAAUGGAUAUCCGAUAGAAUCCGAAACAUUCAAACUCCAAAAGAAUCUUGUACCAAACAUGAUCUCUCAUAAUAUGUAUUCAAAAUAUAUUAAGAUAUAUUGAACAUCUAAAGUACUUAUCUAUUAUAUGAAGGUUGGUGGUUAUAUUACAUGAAUGUUGAUGGUUGAAGGUGACUGUUGAAUCUUAAAAUAUUUAGAUUUAGAUUUUGCUUUCAUUAUUAAACAAUGUUUCUCAUUUCAUGAAAAUUUGCUUUUCGUUUUAUGCUUUCAUUUAUUUGGUUUUCUUUUUUAUCAAAAAUAUGUUUUCCUUUCGUUUGAUUUUGAAUGAUCACGGCUUAUCAUCCUUUUGUUAUUUUGAAUCGACUUUACUUAUUUUUUGGUUACAAAAAAAUUCAAAGCAUGUAUUUUAAACCCGAAGAACCGAUUUUACUUGUGUUUUUGUUACAAAGUAGGUACAAAUCAGGUAUUUUAAAACCGAAAAACAGGUUGGGACCCGAACCCAAAAGAACAUUGGGUUAUACCGGUUCUUUGAAUAUUUACUAACCCCAACCCGAACCAGUCCCGAACCAAACUUUCAAAUAGACUGAUUUUGAUAAAACCGAAACCCGAUUAGGACCCGAAUGCCCAGGCCUAAACUAUAGUUUGGAUUUUAUAAAAUAUAAAAUUAUAGAUGUUAAAUAUAAUGUUUUUUAAAUGUAACGCAAAAACAAAUCAUGCUGUAAAAAAAUAAAAAGUAACAUUUUGAAAACUUAAUUUAAUAAUUAAAAAUCAGAACACUUAAUACCAUAACAUAAAAAAUAUCAUAUAUUGAUAAAAUUUACUAAAAUAAUAUGAUAGAUAAUACUAUGUAUCCAAUUUCUAAAAUAGUAGAGUUAUAUUUUUUAAACAUAACAGUGUAUUUACUCAUAAAAUCUGGAAAAUAAUAAAGUGAUAGAUGUUAAAGUAUUAUUUCUUAAACACAACAUGGAAAUAUAAAUUAUCAUAGACAAAUAUCCAUCUACUGUAUACUAAAUAAACUUAAAAAUGUAUUGUAUACAAAUUGUAAGAAAAUUUAAAGCUAUAUUAAACGAGAUUAUAUAUUUGAUUAUUUUAGAUUAUCAUUUAUGUAUCGAACUCAAAAAUAUAUUCAUAAGUAACAACAAUCAAUAAGAAUAUAGAUAAAAAUCCCUAUAUAAUAAAAAAUACAAAUCACUAUAUAUUAAUAAUAACGAAUACGAAACUUUAGCAAUAAGAUUAUAGAGUUAUGACUUGGGAAAUACCAGUCUUCGUCCACAAUAUAUGACAUUAAAUAUAAAUCAUGUAUUUAAAACUUAUAUGAUAAUAUUUAAAUUAUAUAUUUAUAAAAUAAAAAAAACUUAUCCAUGAUUGUGCGGGUCAAACUCUAGUUUUGGAUUAUUAGACAGCUUUCUUGUUGUCUCUGCUAGAUCUCUGGUUAGCAAAUGAUUAAUCAAAAUGGUGGGAUCAGGAUCAUCUAUAUUUGUAUGGAAUGAUCAUUGACUUCCAUCCACUUGUCUGAGACCAAAAAAUAAAAACAACACAAGCUUUACCCGGACCUCACUGUGGAUUCUUUCAUCAAUGCAACUUCGAGAACAUAAAAUUUACAGGCAAUUCCAAACAUGGUGGAUCCUCAGGAUGCAGAGUUUAUUGAAAUCAUACCAUUAAGUCGAGUUCAGACAGCUGGCCAGGAUGGAUGGCAUUUCACUAAUAAUGGGAGAUACACUGUUAAAUCUGGAUAUCAAGUGGAAUGUGUAUACCAGGAUGUAUAGCGGUUAAAGAAAAAUUGAGAGCAAGAGGAAUUCGAGGAGAUACAACUUGUGUAUGAUGUGAAGCACCUGAAGGAUCUAAAAAUCAUGUGUUUUUUGAAUGUC
Long non-coding RNA from Raphanus sativus (radish), 3259 nucleotides. RefSeq lists it as uncharacterized. The record is from RefSeq and is a predicted model, not a curated record. The transcript is spliced from 2 exons. Lineage: Eukaryota; Viridiplantae; Streptophyta; Magnoliopsida; Brassicales; Brassicaceae.